This 234-nucleotide unclassified non-coding RNA is filed under the name Melitaea cinxia (Glanville fritillary). Its description in RNAcentral is "misc RNA ENSMCXG00005003425.1". Lineage: Eukaryota; Metazoa; Arthropoda; Insecta; Lepidoptera; Nymphalidae. The record is from RNAcentral.
UGCCUAGUAAAGCUAGGACGUGGUUCGACGCUGACGGUAUUACUUUAUAACAAUGUCUAAAUUUUUUAUUUUUGAACUAAAACUCCCCCUAAACCCUCCCUUACGCACGCUUGCCUUGGGGAGUAAGCUACUGAAUCCGUGACAAGAGCGUUAUGAAAAGUGUGAUCGGGCGAGGCGAACGGAGCAAGAGAGAGAGAGAGAGAGCGUCACCGGUGAGAGGGGCCGGGUACUAUA